GUGGAGAGAGAUAUUACCUCUCAAAAAUUCGGCCCUUUGGUGAAAAUUGGGGUUUUGAGAGUUUCUACCUCCAUUGAAGCUUGAGGAGCCAUCAAUCCUUGGUUGUGUGACCAUUGGUGGAUUGAGACAUUUGGACCAACCGUGAGUGAUCAACCAUUGGAGCAAGCUAUGGAGCUUGAAUAGCUCAUUGGAAUUGGUGUUGGUUUUGGAGUAGAGUAUUGUUGACAUUGGUGAAGAACAAAGGUCGACUGAAGCAUUGAGGUAAGGAUGCUGCAGGAGCCUCUGGUGGCAAGUGGCCAUAUCUGGAUUAUGC
This is a long non-coding RNA of Gastrolobium bilobum, 313 nucleotides long. RefSeq lists it as uncharacterized. Lineage: Eukaryota; Viridiplantae; Streptophyta; Magnoliopsida; Fabales; Fabaceae. The record is from RefSeq and is a predicted model, not a curated record. The transcript has 4 exons.